GGAUUAGAUACCCUGGUAGUCCACGCCGUAAACGAUGGGUGCUAGGUGUCACGGGCAUUGACUCUCGUGGUGCCGAAGCAAACGCAUUAAGCACCCCGCCUGGGAAGUACGGCCGCAAGGCUAAAACUCAAAGGAAUUGACGGGGGCCCGCACAAGCGGUGGAGCAUGUGGUUUAAUUCGACGCAACGCGAAGAACCUUACCUGGGCUAGAAAACGUAGGAACCUGGUAGAAAUAUUGGGGUGCUCUUCGGAGAAUCUACGGUUAGGUGCUGCAUGGCUGUCGUCAGCUCGUGCCG
RNAcentral lists this ribosomal RNA (296 nucleotides) under uncultured bacterium. RNAcentral describes it as "partial 16S ribosomal RNA". It matches the Rfam family "Bacterial small subunit ribosomal RNA", at positions 775 to 1067 of the family's 1533-position model. The record is from RNAcentral.